GGAGAGGUGGCUGAGUAGGUCGAAAGCGGCACACUGCUAAUGUGUUAUCCGGCCUUAAAACCGGAUCGCGGGUUCGAAUCCCGCCCUCUCCG
This 92-nucleotide transfer RNA is filed under the name Candidatus Magasanikiibacteriota bacterium. RNAcentral describes it as "Candidatus Magasanikbacteria bacterium tRNA-Ser". It matches the Rfam family "tRNA". Rfam says of the family: Transfer RNA (tRNA) molecules are approximately 80 nucleotides in length. Their secondary structure includes four short double-helical elements and three loops (D, anti-codon, and T loops). Further hydrogen bonds mediate the characteristic L-shaped molecular structure. tRNAs have two regions of fundamental functional importance: the anti-codon, which is responsible for specific mRNA codon recognition, and the 3' end, to which the tRNAs corresponding amino acid is attached (by aminoacyl-tRNA synthetases). tRNAs cope with the degeneracy of the genetic code in two manners: having more than one tRNA (with a specific anti-codon) for a particular amino acid; and 'wobble' base-pairing, i.e. permitting non-standard base-pairing at the 3rd anti-codon position. The record is from RNAcentral. Lineage: Bacteria; Candidatus Magasanikiibacteriota.